UACGUAGGGGGCAAGCGUUGUCCGGAAUUAUUGGGCGUAAAGAGCUCGUAGGCGGUUUGUCGCGUCGAAUGUGAAAACCCGGGGCUCAACCCCGGGCCUGCAUUCGAUACGGGCAGACUAGAGUUCGGUAGGGGAGUCUGGAAUUCCUGGUGUAGCGGUGAAAUGCGCAGAUAUCAGGAGGAACACUGGUGGCGAAGGCGGGACUCUGGGCCGAUACUGACGCUGAGGAGCGAAAGCGUGGGGAGCAAACAGG
RNAcentral lists this ribosomal RNA (253 nucleotides) under uncultured bacterium. Its description in RNAcentral is "partial 16S ribosomal RNA". It matches the Rfam family "Bacterial small subunit ribosomal RNA", at positions 524 to 776 of the family's 1533-position model. The record is from RNAcentral.